This is a long non-coding RNA of Sycon ciliatum, 1093 nucleotides long. RefSeq lists it as uncharacterized. The record is from RefSeq and is a predicted model, not a curated record. NCBI's taxonomy places the organism in Eukaryota, Metazoa, Porifera, Calcarea, Leucosolenida, Sycettidae. The transcript is spliced from 3 exons.
AUUUGUAGCGCUUGCUAGCUCUGUGCAUGUGGCUGAUUGCAGACUGAUUAUUGCUGAGUCCUAGGCCUUGCGAGUUCUCAUAAGAAACCUAUGAAUUAGCCUCUGGGAUGUAGCUGAUGCUAUUACCGCUCUUUAGAGAUCGGAUAGCUCUAGUCUAGUGCCCUUUUCUGCGGAUUCUCAGUCUGUGGGAGUGCUUACUCCGAGAGUUGUCAUUAUUAACAAAAGACGGGAGGUAGUUUGCAUCUGCUUUUGUAGAUUUUCCCGGGUAGUGGAACCCUGGGGUUGAAGUCAGUAUCUGCAAAACUUAGACUGCUACAGAAAACAAUAGCCUGAUCUAUGUGUUCUGUCUUCAUUGAACAUGCGAGUGAGCGUGCGGACAUGUUGGUGCCUGGAGCGGUGAAUGGAUGUCCAGUGGACGCUGUGAUUGAUACAGGAUCCGCCGCUACAUUGUUGUCAGAGGAUUUUGCCGACCGCCUACCUAAGGAGCUGGAAAAGGAAACCUCUGACCAAGGCCCGAAGUUGAUUGGCCCCAACGGGCAACCACUAGAAGCCGUGGCGUCAGCAAUUGUUCAGUUGGAACUCGGAGAUGCAACCUGUUGGCACCGGUUCACCAUAUUGUACAGGGCAGGUCGAUCGCACGCUAACGCUGAUGCAUUGUCACGCCGCCCUGACGCUUCGACGACGCUGUUCGUAGGGGCCGUGAACAACGACGUUGGCAACAUCCCCACGCCCCUCAUCCGCCGUUUCAGCUGGCCGUGGUCAAGAUGGGAAACGGAACAGGAGAAGGACCGAGAUCUCGCCCAAGUUGUGUCCUGGCUAGGUAUGGACUCUCCGCCUUGCCCACAGGACAUGAUGGGUAGCAGUCCUGAGUGUUUGCUUUCUGCUUGGCAUAGAUAAGACCAGGACAACUGCGUACCAUCCACAGAGUGACGGUCUGGUUGAGAGAUUCAACCAGACGCUUGAGCGUGGCCUGGCGCACUAUGUCUGCCGGAAUCAUCGAGAUUGGGACAUCAAGUUGCCAGCCUUCUUGAUGGGAUACCGCUCGACGCCGCAGACUAGUACCGGCUACAGUCCAAGCUAUCUGCUCUUUGGU